GCACUGAAGGUGAGAAUUGGAGGAAAACAAACCUGUAGAUCAUCAGGUUGUGUAGCAGAUCGAUGGGAAAAAACAUGAUCGCCGAUCGGUUUGUUUUCCUCCAAUUUCUCACCUUCAGUUG
Setaria italica (foxtail millet) is the source of this 121-nucleotide microRNA precursor. It matches the Rfam family "MIR2275 microRNA precursor family". The record is from Rfam. NCBI's taxonomy places the organism in Eukaryota, Viridiplantae, Streptophyta, Magnoliopsida, Poales, Poaceae.